GAUGAACGCUAGCGGCAGGCUUAAUACAUGCAAGUCGAACGGGAUUCGGUGUAGCAAUACUUGCCGGCGACCGGCGCACGGGUGCGUAACACGUAUGUAAUCUACCCUUUACUGGAGAAUAGCCCGAAGAAAUUCGGAUUAAUGCUCCAUAAUAUCACUGGAAGGCAUCUUUUGGUGAUUAAAGUUCCGACGGUAAAGGAUGAGCAUGCGCGAUAUUAGCUAGUUGGUGAGGUAACGGCUCACCAAGGCGACGAUAUCUAGGGGUACUGAGAGGUUACACCCCCACACUGGUACUGAGACACGGACCAGACUCCUACGGGAGGCAGCAGUAAGGAUAUUGGACAAUGGUCGCAAGACUGAUCCAGCCAUGCCGCGUGCAGGAUGAAUGCCCUAUGGGUUGUAAACUGGCUUUUAUACGGGAAUAAACCCGGGUGUGUACCCGGCUGAAUGUACCGU
This 456-nucleotide ribosomal RNA is filed under the name uncultured bacterium. RNAcentral's name for it is "bacterial SSU rRNA". It matches the Rfam family "Bacterial small subunit ribosomal RNA", at positions 28 to 481 of the family's 1533-position model. The record is from RNAcentral.